Long non-coding RNA from Salvia splendens (bonfire salvia), 879 nucleotides. RefSeq lists it as uncharacterized. NCBI's taxonomy places the organism in Eukaryota, Viridiplantae, Streptophyta, Magnoliopsida, Lamiales, Lamiaceae. The transcript has 4 exons. The record is from RefSeq and is a predicted model, not a curated record.
CCCCGCCCCAAAAACCAAAUCCGCAGCUUCUCCGCUAAAUUGAAAAAUUGGGCGGCGAUUUUCAAUUUUCACAAUCCGCUCUUCAGAUAGGUGAACACUCUGGAAUCUGAACACUCACAACGUCCCUGAGGAUAUCGAAGCUGAGAUUCAACCCAUAGCACGCAAAAUGUCUAUCGUCAAUCGCGCAGCCGUUAGAUCUGGGAUUGGUUCCGGUAGUGACGGGGAAACUGACCAGCCGAUGGCGAAGUUCAAGAGGGGCGAUCGUUCAUGAAGAAUCUGGACAUUACGCGAGGAAAAGAUACUCGCAACAACCUUGGUUGAACUUGUUGCCCGGAGUUGGAAAUCGGACAAUGGAUUUUGGCCUGGUUCUCUCCAGAAAAUCGAAGACAGUAUUCGGGCUGAAUUCCCCAACUCGGAUCUCAAGGGUACCCCGCAUGUUACUUCAAAAAUUCCUGCUUGGAAAAAGAGCUACAACAGCCUGCGAGGGAUCAUAGCACGAACUGGGGUGGGCUUCACUCCACAUGGGGAUUUCAAAAUUGACUGUUCUGACGAACAGUGGGAGCAGAUUGUGAAUAUUUUAUUCCUUAACUCGUUGCUACUGAGCACUUGAAUACGAUUUAUGUUUAACUUUUCACUUGCGGACAGUUUAAUGUAUAAUCCCUCUGUGUGUGUAGGCUGACAAGCAUGCCAAGUUAAUGCUGGCGAAGUCUUGGCCCUUUUGGGAGACAAGGAAGAUUAUUUUUGGCAGGGACAGAGCAACCGGAUCAAUGGCUGAAGACAUUGCGGAUGCUGCUACGCGAUCGCGUCCCCAAGAAACCUUGGGAAUGUACAUGCUGAACAAGGCUACCCGAAAAUCUUCGGAGUCCAAGGAGCCGGAGA